RNAcentral lists this long non-coding RNA (2128 nucleotides) under Zonotrichia albicollis (white-throated sparrow). Its description in RNAcentral is "lncRNA (ENSZALG00000003189.1)". The record is from RNAcentral. Lineage: Eukaryota; Metazoa; Chordata; Aves; Passeriformes; Passerellidae.
CUCACUAUGGAAAUGGUGGCUGGCUGGAUGUGCUGGGUGGAGAGACCUGUGAAUGAAUAUCUCCCAGUGAUGAGUGAGUGGACAAUAAAAACUGAGCCCAUAGUUUUAGAGGAAAAUGGAAACAGAAGCACAUGGAACCUCAACACUGACAAGGGCAAAGCUCAGACUUAAUCCUUCAUGCUAAGGUUGUGCCAUCCACACACAGCAGGCAGCCAACCCGUGGUUCAGCUCUGUGGAACACUACCUGGUGAUGGAUGUGUGUUUGGGUGCCAGGAAUGGUUCUGCCCUGAGCCUGAGGCAAGCUCAGAGCUUUGCAGUGCUUCCUUGAGCUUGAUCUGUGCUGCAAAGGCAUUAGGCCUGAAUCUCACAACUGCCCAACAGCAAUCAAUUGCUCUUAAUUACUUUCACUCCCGGAGCCAAGUGAGAGAGGAGCCAAGUUCUGAAGAAGAGAGAUCCUUAUUCAGUGCCUUAUUUCCAAAGGAGAGAAGCAAUGCAGAGAGAACGGGAAAUCUGCCAGCAAAAGGAGACACCUGAAAGAGGAAAAGAUAAAUAUUUAGCCACCGAGAUCUGUUAAAGUACAAAACAUCAUCUAUAAUUCAGAUUCAAAAUUACUUUAUUUAAAUAAUAUCACAACUGUACUACAAAUAGUCCUCCUAUGCUGUCAAGUUACAAGGUAAAUGUGAGACACGUACCUCAGUCUUAACUUACUUCCUCUCCCCUGAAAGUGGGGCUGUCACUGGAACUCUUUUUUGAACUGUUACUAUAUUUGUACUUUUUUCAUGCUAUAGUUAGAUCUUUAUCACAACUCCAAGGUUGAACAGUGGAAAAAUUGGACAAAAUAUUACUCCAGAAUGAUUAAUCCAUUGGAGACCUUGAUCCAAAUUUUGUGCAGAAGGGCUGAGCAUUGAGCAUCCAAUGAAAGGUGGCAGAGAGAAGUUCCCAUGGCCCCCCAGCAGAGGCAGUGCAUGCUGUGCUUGUGGAGGCUUUGCCAAGGGGAGCUUCACAUCAACCAUGCCUAAAGCUUUCAAAUCUAUCCAGCCUGUCCAUGCCAGCAUCACCACCUGGUACCAGGGAAUGGAGCAACCCCCAGGUUUUACAGACCUUUGUUGCUACAACAGGACUUGGGAAUAACUGGCUCAGGGGCAAUUUGAUUCCUUAUGAAUAACAUAGGGAAAAGUCAUGGGAAGAGCUGGAACUCAACUUCUCAUCCUCUGGCUUCCUACAGAGACUCAGUGACCUGUCAGCUAGCAAUUCAUCAGAAGUUUAGACAGGGAAAAGUCAUCCAGGAAUGUUGUCCUCUGAGAAGAGGAAAGAGGGAAAUUCGAGAGCACAGGAAAGCAGCCCAUGUGGAAUGAACAAGGAAAUGAGACUACAGAGAGAAGGGAGGUCCAGAGAGGCUUUUGAAAGAGUCUUCAUUCCUGUAGAGGAUUGCAUAAUAUAGUAUUUGUUUUUACAUAAAACAGAGUAAAUAAUUUUGCAGUACUGACAAAUCUCUCACUCUCUCUCAACUGUUCUCCAUCUUUUGUUGUUCUGAUUAUUAUUAUGGUUCAGAUAUCACAGAGAAUCACUUUCCUUUUUUCCUUCUUAGGAAUGAAAUAACUACUUUUUCAUGUAGGUGGUGAGAGAAAUAGGGAGAAAUUGAUUUUAAUGCUUCCAAAAAUUCUUCACUGUGUCAGUAAUUUCCUUGUCCAGCGAUGGUCUGCAUUCACAAGAAACAUAAUUUCCAUUGUAUCACUGCACUGUCAGUGUGGGUGUUGUGGUGUGUUGCAAUGUCCUGUUUUAAACUUCCGAGUCCCUUCCCAGGUGUGCCUAUGCCUCUCUCCCUGCCCCCUCGCCCCCUUGCUGAGUGUGCCCUGUCAAUCAGGCUAACAUACCAGCAAGGUGUCGUGUGAUUCGUCGAUUUCAAAGGAUGCUUCUCAGGCCUGGGGGUCAUUGGCCUGUCUAAGUGUCAUCCUCCCUUGAGACCCUGCCCCCUUCACCUGGUUGGUAACUCACCUGUCCCCUCCCCUUCCCCUGUCCCCGAGCUUAUAAAGUUAAUGAGACCAUGCGGCCGGCAUUCUGUUACCAGCAGUAGCCCAGUGCAGACAUAUCUGUACUCAUGGAAUAAACUUCUGGCUACCUUCUAGCA